This 253-nucleotide ribosomal RNA is filed under the name uncultured bacterium. RNAcentral's name for it is "partial 16S ribosomal RNA". It matches the Rfam family "Bacterial small subunit ribosomal RNA", at positions 524 to 776 of the family's 1533-position model. The record is from RNAcentral.
UACAGAGGCCUCGAGCGUUGUCCGGAAUUACUGGGCGUAAAGCGCGUGUAGGCGGCUUUGCAAGUCGGGGGUGAAAUCCCACGGCUCAACCGUGGAAGUGCACUCGAAACUGCAAGGCUAGAGUCCUGGAGAGGAAGGUGGAAUGCUUGGUGUAGAGGUGAAAUUCGUAGAUAUCAAGCGGAACACCGGUGGCGAAGGCGGCCUUCUGGACAGUGACUGACGCUGAGACGCGAAAGCGUGGGGAGCAAACAGG